CCUACGGGGGGCAGCAGUGGGGAAUAUUGCGCAAUGGGUGAAAGCCUGACGCAGCGACGCCGCGUGAGGGAUGAAGGCCUUCGGAUCGUAAACCUCUGUCAGCAGGGAAGAACGGUCACUGUGCUAAUCAGCAGUGAAUUGACGGUACCUGCAAAGGAAGCCCCGGCUAACUCCGUGCCAGCAGCCGCGGUAAUACGGAGGGUGCGAGCGUUAAUCGGAUUUACUGGGCGUAAAGCGCUCGUAGGCGGUAUGUCAAGUCAAGGGUGAAAUCCCGGCGCUCAACGUGGGAACUGCCUUUGAAACUGGAUGACUAGAGUGUGGGAGAGGCUGGUGGAAUUCCAGGUGUAGGGGUGAAAUGCGUAGAUAUUUGGAGGAACAUCAGUGGCGAAGGCGGCUAGCUGGCUCAUAACUGACGCUGAGGAGCGAAAGCGUGGGUAGCAAACAGGAUUAGAUACCCGGGUAGUC
This 465-nucleotide ribosomal RNA is filed under the name uncultured bacterium. RNAcentral's name for it is "partial 16S ribosomal RNA". It matches the Rfam family "Bacterial small subunit ribosomal RNA", at positions 338 to 795 of the family's 1533-position model. The record is from RNAcentral.